UACGUAGGGUGCGAGCGUUAAUCGGAAUUACUGGGCGUAAAGGGUGCGCAGGCGGUUUUGUAAGCCAGAUGUGAAAUCCCCGGGCUUAACCUGGGAAUGGCAUUUGGGACUGCAAGGCUGGAGUACGGCAGAGGAGACUGGAAUUCCUGGUGUAGCAGUGAAAUGCGUAGAUAUCAGGAGGAAUACCGAUGGCGAAGGCAGGUCUCUGGGCUGAUACUGACGCUCAUGCACGAAAGCGUGGGGAGCAA
RNAcentral lists this ribosomal RNA (248 nucleotides) under uncultured bacterium. RNAcentral describes it as "partial 16S ribosomal RNA". It matches the Rfam family "Bacterial small subunit ribosomal RNA", at positions 524 to 771 of the family's 1533-position model. The record is from RNAcentral.